UAUAGAACUAGGAGAUAGUAACAGAACCUGGAAUAUAGAACUAGGAGACAAUUACAGAACCUGGAAUAUAGAACUAGGAGAUAGUUACAGAACCUGGAAAAUAGAACUAGGAGAUAGUUACAGAACCUGGAAUAUAGAACUAGGAGACAGUUACAGAACCUGGAAUAUAGAACUAGGAGGCAGAUACAGAAUCUGGAAUAUAGAACUAGGAGACAGAUAUAGAAUCUGGAAUAUAGAACUAGGAGACAGAAUAUAGAACUAGGAGACAAUUACAGAACCUGGAAUAUAGAACUAGGAGACAGUUACAGAACCUGGAAUAUAGAACUAGGAGGCAGAUACAGAAUCUGGAAUAUAGAACUAGGAGACAGAUAUAGAAUCUGGAAUAUAGAACUAGGAGACAGAAUAUAGAACUAGGAGACAGUUACAGAACCUGGAAUAUAGAACUAGGAGACAGAUAUAGAACCUGGAAUAUAGAACUAGGAGACAGAUAUAGAACCUGGAAUAUAGAACUAGGAGACAGAUAUAGAACCUGGAAUAUAGAACUAGGAGAUAGUUACAGAACCUGGAAAAUAGAACUAGGAGAUAGUAACAGAACCUGGAAUAUAGAACUAGGAGACAAUUACAGAACCUGGAAUAUAGAACUAGGAGACCAUUACAGAACCUGGAAUAUAGAACUAGGAGACCAUUACAGAACCUGGAAUAUAGAACUAGGAGACAAAUAUAGAAUCUGGAAUAUAGAACUAGGAGACAGUUACAGAGAGAAUCUGGAAUAUAGAACUAGGAGACAGUUACAGAGAGAAUCUGGAAUAUAGAACUAGGAGACAGUUACAGAGAGAAUCUGGAAUAUAGAACUAGGAGACAGAUAUAGAACCUGGAAUAUAGAACUAGGAGAGAGUUACAGAACCUGGAAUAUAGAACUAGGAGAAAGUUACAGAAUCUGGAAUAUAGAACUAGGAGACAGAAUAUAGAACCUGGGCCCAUAUUUACUAAAGUUCGUAGACGUAAACGUAGGAUUUACGUCUGACUUAAGAUUAGAGUUACGUACUCAUAAAAUGGUAUUCACAAAACCGUUCGUAGCCGCAAACGUAACUUACGAUGUACGAUUGCACUUACGCGUGCGCAGUGGCUAUUUUCACUUCGAAGCGUAAAAAGUGUGAAUUUGCUCAUUUACCUUGAAUUCCCUGCGCUACCGCCGCAUUAUGACGAAAAAGAACACAGAACUUUGUGAGAAAGCAACGAAUUUCAACGUAUACGUAUGCCUGCCAACGGCAUGUCGAUCAACUGUACCGUUAUUCAGUGUUGUUUACAAAUCCAAAUGGAAGGUUCAUCAAAUUUAACGCAUUUGACUUGUGCAUGGAUCUUCGAUGCUGUAGGUGUUCAAAAAGAAGUCGGCAUGGACUGACAAGGUCAUAAAGGUGGUCAAGAAAUAAAUUGCCAACAGACAGCAGCAUUCCUUGAUUUAGAUGCAUUUCUCUUCAUGUCCUCUCCUGAAAGAUUUUCCAUGAUGCCUCAGGGUUAGGAUUGGGAUGCAAGAUGUACAGUACAUAUAUAUGAUGUCUAUGGGUACAUUGCUGUAAUGGCCUGAAAAAUCUUUUGCAAAACCGAGAAAUGUUCAUCUUCCAUUGUCAUGAUUGUGUAAAAGGACGAGCAGAAGAAUGAUUCAAAAAUAUAUGGCAGGAUUGAGAAUCUAACCCAUGACCCGUAGUCUGGUACUCUACCCACUGAUCAAUCCAUGCUGAUGGUCCAUCUGCUACAUUGAUGUCAUCUUAUAUAUUUAUUUAUUCAUUUAUAUCAUAUGGACAUUUAAAAAUUGACAGUAAAAUAAAAAAAAGUUUGAUAUUCAGCAAAAUAGAAUUUGUUACAAUACAUGUUUAAGAAAUUAAGUACAUGUACAUGCAUUGUUAUACAUACAAUUAUGUACAUGUAAUUAUAUUUGUUAAUAGAUAAAUUUUUAGAUAAA
Long non-coding RNA from Ostrea edulis (European flat oyster), 1960 nucleotides. RefSeq lists it as uncharacterized. The transcript has 3 exons. The record is from RefSeq and is a predicted model, not a curated record. NCBI's taxonomy places the organism in Eukaryota, Metazoa, Mollusca, Bivalvia, Ostreida, Ostreidae.